RNAcentral lists this ribosomal RNA (301 nucleotides) under uncultured bacterium. RNAcentral describes it as "partial 16S ribosomal RNA". It matches the Rfam family "Bacterial small subunit ribosomal RNA", at positions 509 to 807 of the family's 1533-position model. The record is from RNAcentral.
CAGUCGCCGCGGGAAUACGUAGGUGGCAAGCGUUGUCCGGAUUUAUUGGGCGUAAAGCGAGCGCAGGCGGUCAAUUAAGUCUGAUGUGAAAGCCCCCGGCUCAACCGGGGAGGGUCAUUGGAAACUGGUUGACUUGAGUGCAGAAGAGGAGAGUGGAAUUCCAUGUGUAGCGGUGAAAUGCGUAGAUAUAUGGAGGAACACCAGUGGCGAAGGCGACUCUCUGGUCUGUAACUGACGCUGAGGCUCGAAAGCGUGGGUAGCAAACAGGAUUAGAUACCCCCGUAGUCCCUGUCUCUUAUAC